AAUGAGAAAUAAGGAAAAAAGAGUGGGACGUUUACUAAAUUAGAUACGUCAUUAUAUUCCCUUGUCCCUCGUGCCACGUGUUGGCUCGAAACGAAGCGGAGAAGCCAAGGAGGGGAUUCCUCUCGCUCUCGCGAAACCACUCCGCCUCUCUCUCUCUCUCUCUCUCUCUCUCUCUCUCUCUCUCUCUUUCUCUCUCUCUCUCUCUCUCGUGAUCUCCUCUCCACGUUCUCUCCUUGGCUCUGCGCCGCGUUAUCCCUCAUCCUCUCCAUGAAUUCCUCCAAAGCUUGCUUCUUCCACUCUCUUCUUCGACCAAUCUCGAUUCCCCAAUCCUCCUAUGGCGUCUUCUCAAAGCGUAAGCUUCUCUACCUCUGAUUACAUCCAAAUCAAAGCAAUCACUUAUCAAGACCAGUCUGUUGCUGAUAAAUUAAAAAUCAAAGCAAUCACUUAUCUGUCAAUUGAUUCUGUUUUGUUGCUUUUGUUUAAUUUCUUGUGGGUUUCUUAAAUAUGACAAACUAUCGAAGAUGAUGAUGAUGUUGUUGAGUCAACUGCUUCUACUUUUGAUCGAGUAUCCUCUCUGCUUCUUCUUCUUGUUCUUUAUCCCACUAUUACAAUACAUGUAUGCGUGUAAUUGAUUAUAAUGCUUGAAAGAGUUGGAAAAUGUAUUGAAAAGCUUUGCGUAUUUGUGGGAGAUUUGAUCCACGAAGGGAGUGUACGCUUAGGAUGUAUUCUUACAGUCGGGAAGAAAGGAAACAGUGUUGGAUUUGGCUAAGUUUGUGGAUAAGGGUGUGCAAGUUAAGCUUACUGGUAGUAGACAAGGUGUAAAGAAAGAACAGAGCAUUUUUUUAAUAUGAUUCUUGCUUUGAGUUUUGAUGCUUGCUUGUUUCAUCAUGUCACUGGAACUCUUAAAGGCUACAAUCAGUUGUUGAACCUUGUUCUAGAUGCCGCGGUGGAGUGUGUUCAAGUAGCUUCAUCAACUCCAUUUUUCCUUGGUCUCCACCUAGAAGAGCACCAAACCCCUUAGCUCAAGAUGUGCGAUUUGGAGAUGAAAAACUCAACCCUAUCUACCCUCGCUCUCACCAUUCCUCUCAUCUCCAUCUCGUGUCAAAGGAAUCUCCAUCCCCUUGUAAUUUUUUUUUAAAAGUUUGUAAUCUAUCUU
Raphanus sativus (radish) is the source of this 1156-nucleotide long non-coding RNA. RefSeq lists it as uncharacterized. The transcript is spliced from 2 exons. The record is from RefSeq and is a predicted model, not a curated record. NCBI's taxonomy places the organism in Eukaryota, Viridiplantae, Streptophyta, Magnoliopsida, Brassicales, Brassicaceae.